Molecule: ribosomal RNA, 236 nt
Filed under: uncultured bacterium
Lineage: Bacteria
Description: partial 16S ribosomal RNA
Rfam family: Bacterial small subunit ribosomal RNA
Source: RNAcentral
UGAGGAACAUGACCUUCGGCGGGGGAUAGCCGGCCCAACGGCCGGGUAAUACCGCGUACGACCAUUUGGGGACAUCCCCGAGUGGUGAAAGCAGCAAUGCGCCGAUGGAGUGCCUCGCGGCCUAUCAGCUAGUUGGUGUGGGUAAUGGCCCACCAAGGCGACGACGGGUAGCCGGCCUGAGAGGGUGACCGGCCACACUGGGACUGAGACACGGCCCAGACUCCUACGGGAGGCAG